UGAGAAACCUAUCCUGGUCUCUGGGAUAACAGUCGGAAACAACUGCUAAUACCGGAUGCCGUCGGAGCGCUGCAUGGCGCACUGACGAAAGGGUUACUGGAUCAGGAGGGUCUCGCGGCCUAUCAGCUUGUUGGUGGGGUAAUGGCCUACCAAGGCAUCGACGGGUAGCUGGUCUGAGAGGAUGAUCAGCCACACUGGGACUGAGACACGGCCCAGACCUACCGG
RNAcentral lists this ribosomal RNA (225 nucleotides) under uncultured bacterium. RNAcentral's name for it is "partial 16S ribosomal RNA". It matches the Rfam family "Bacterial small subunit ribosomal RNA", at positions 118 to 345 of the family's 1533-position model. The record is from RNAcentral.